RNAcentral lists this ribosomal RNA (585 nucleotides) under Vibrio sp. Vpar158. RNAcentral describes it as "bacterial SSU rRNA". It matches the Rfam family "Bacterial small subunit ribosomal RNA", at positions 342 to 919 of the family's 1533-position model. Lineage: Bacteria; Pseudomonadati; Pseudomonadota; Gammaproteobacteria; Vibrionales; Vibrionaceae. The record is from RNAcentral.
CGGGAGGCAGCAGUGGGGAAUAUUGCACAAUGGGCGCAAGCCUGAUGCAGCCAUGCCGCGUGUGUGAAGAAGGCCUUCGGGUUGUAAAGCACUUUCAGUCGUGAGGAAGGUGGUGUAGUUAAUAGCUGCAUUAUUUGACGUUAGCGACAGAAGAAGCACCGGCUAACUCCGUGCCAGCAGCCGCGGUAAUACGGAGGGUGCGAGCGUUAAUCGGAAUUACUGGGCGUAAAGCGCAUGCAGGUGGUUUGUUAAGUCAGAUGUGAAAGCCCGGGGCUCAACCUCGGAAUAGCAUUUGAAACUGGCAGACUAGAGUACUGUAGAGGGGGGUAGAAUUUCAGGUGUAGCGGUGAAAUGCGUAGAGAUCUGAAGGAAUACCGGUGGCGAAGGCGGCCCCCUGGACAGAUACUGACACUCAGAUGCGAAAGCGUGGGGAGCAAACAGGAUUAGAUACCCUGGUAGUCCACGCCGUAAACGAUGUCUACUUGGAGGUUGUGGCCUUGAGCCGUGGCUUUCGGAGCUAACGCGUUAAGUAGACCGCCUGGGGAGUACGGUCGCAAGAUUAAAACUCAAAUGAAUUGACGGGGG